AUUGGCAUGUGAUGAUACAAUGAUAUGCAAUUACAGAUUAAUUGUGAUGAUACAACUCCGCUUAUUAUCUGAUGCCAAU
This is a small nucleolar RNA of Cannabis sativa, 79 nucleotides long. RefSeq annotates it as small nucleolar RNA R16. NCBI's taxonomy places the organism in Eukaryota, Viridiplantae, Streptophyta, Magnoliopsida, Rosales, Cannabaceae. The transcript has a single exon. The record is from RefSeq and is a predicted model, not a curated record.